GAGAAGUUUAGUUGGGUGGCAAGACAGAUCAGAAUCAAGGCCAGAUUUCCAAUUAGGCAAAAUAGCCAUGGGCCUAGGGAUACUGGUGUUCUAGGGGCACCUAAAAGAUAAAACUGGGUUAAAAGUAUUUUUUUUUUUUUAUGGAAAACACAAAGGUCAGCUAUAGGCAGGGGGAUCAUUGAAGAUGCUGUGCCUGGGGAUGCGUAAGAUGUAAAUCUGGCCCUGAUCGGACUUACUCCAUGUUAAGGCUGUUAACAGUGCUUGAAGAGUUCACACUUGAUAACUGGUGAAAUCUAAAUAUAGAACUCUCAGCCAGUUUCGGGUUUGUGCCCUGCUUCUUAACAGUCUGCCCUGAGGCUGGUACUCAUGGUCCUGAACCAUUACAGGACAACUUGACAGUAUAGAACCAGAGUAUCCCUCUAGUUCUACCCUGAGCCCAGCACUGCUCCUCUAUCACCCAAGAGGCAUACUUAUUCGAAAACUCAAAAACUGCACUCCAUGAGGCAGUACCUUGAGGGAGCCCUUUCCUGUGUGUGUGUGUAGAGAGGUGAGGUAUUGAAAGCAUUUUUCUACUAUCUAGCAUAAUUUUAAGAAACUGGAUAUAAAAAACUAUAUUAAAAAUGUUACAAAAUGAAGGAGCACUGAAGUUAAGAAAUGCCAAAAUUAAAGUUUCCAAAUAAUGCAGGAUAUGCAUUCUGGUCCAGAUUCAGACAGAACUGUAGAAAAUAAAUUAUACGAACUGAACAGUUGUUUCAGGAACUAUUUAUAGAAAAAAUGGACAAUUGCCUGAAACUAUGCAGAAGUUAGGCAAUGUUAGACAAUUAAAUUAUGCAUCUCAGUGCAUUAAUAGUGCUAAGCAUUUCCAUUUUAGAUCACUAAUUUCCAAAGACGUGGAAGAGCCACAUAUUCACUAACCCACACUAUUCAAUAGAGGUUUGAAUAAAAAAAAGAUUUUAAUCCUACUUUAAAAAAAAAACAAAAUACCAAAAACACAUAGAACACCUUUUUCCUCUCUUUUUACCCACAGAAAUUAAAUCAAUGCGAGUCAAAAAAUGACUUCCCUAAGGCAAUAAUGGGGUACUUUACUAAAGUUGAAUGCAUUUUUAAAAAUUAUGUGUUCAGAGUUUUCAAACUUGUAUUUCUUUUUGGGUGGAAAUGUGUAGACAAUCUGAAAAAAAUGCAUAGUGUUGCUUAGGCAGAUUUUACACUUCUGUAACUUUUUCAAAUUAAAAGUGUCAGGAUUCAGUUUUGGGAAAUAAUGUCAAACUUAAUAUGCAAACCAAAAAUUAACUAUUGCUUCUACCUGGUCAUAGUCUAAAUUCCUUUGUAGGCUAACUCACACUAACCAAUGCAAAUGAUUUUUUAAAAAAGCUUACGGACACCCCCCGAUUUACGCAAUCGUUCCAUUCUGAAAAGCCUUGCAUAACUCAAAUUUUGUAUAAGUAGGAAACAUAUACCUGCACGUUAUGCAAAAAUUUCCACAACUCAGAAAUCCUAUUUCUGGCUUAUGGAACUUUUCCUGUAAGUGUGAAUUUGCUUAAGUCAGGUCUGGCGUAACCCGGGGAGCGUCUGUAUUUGAGUUCAGAUAUUUUAACUUUUAAUUUUAUACCAAACAAUAUUUUAAGAAAUAAAAGUAUUGCAAGCAAAUUAAGACUAGACUUUUAAAAUAAAUUUAUUAGAUCACAUAAAUAUUGUUUGCAACUGAUACAUUAUCUGUUCCCUUUUUGAUGUCCUUGGCACAAAAUAUAGCUCUUACCAUAAUAUUUACAAAACUGGUGUAAACAUCCAUGGAAAAUAAAA
Chelonoidis abingdonii (Abingdon island giant tortoise) is the source of this 1800-nucleotide non-coding RNA. NCBI's taxonomy places the organism in Eukaryota, Metazoa, Chordata, Testudines, Testudinidae. The record is from RefSeq and is a predicted model, not a curated record.